This 491-nucleotide ribosomal RNA is filed under the name uncultured bacterium. RNAcentral describes it as "partial 16S ribosomal RNA". It matches the Rfam family "Bacterial small subunit ribosomal RNA", at positions 29 to 506 of the family's 1533-position model. The record is from RNAcentral.
AGUGAACGCUGGCGGUAGGCCUAACACAUGCAAGUCGAACGGCAGCACAGUAAGAGCUUGCUCUUACGGGUGGCGAGUGGCGGACGGGUGAGGAAUACAUCGGAAUCUACUUUUUCGUGGGGGAUAACGUAGGGAAACUUACGCUAAUACCGCAUACGACCUACGGGUGAAAGCAGGGGAUCUUCGGACCUUGCGCGAUUGAAUGAGCCGAUGUCGGAUUAGCUAGUUGGCGGGGUAAAGGCCCACCAAGGCGACGAUCCGUAGCUGGUCUGAGAGGAUGAUCAGCCACACUGGAACUGAGACACGGUCCAGACUCCUACGGGAGGCAGCAGUGGGGAAUAUUGGACAAUGGGCGCAAGCCUGGUCCAGCCAUACCGCGUGGGUGAAGAAGGCCUUCGGGUUGUAAAGCCCUUUUGUUGGGAAAGAAAAGCAGCAGGUUAAGACCCCGCUGUUCUGACGGUACCCAAAGAAUAAGCACCGGCGAACUUCGU